UACGUAGGGGGCUAGCGUUGUCCGGAAUCAUUGGGCGUAAAGAGCGUGUAGGCGGUCCGGUAAGUCCGUUGUGAAAGUCAAGGGCUCAACCCUUGAAUGCCGGCGGAUACUGUCGGGCUAGAGUACGGAAGAGGCAAGUGGAAUUCCUGGUGUAGCGGUGGAAUGCGCAGAUAUCAGGAGGAACACCUAUAGCGAAGGCAGCUUGCUGGGACGUUACUGACGCUAAGGCGCGAAAGCGUGGGGAGCGAACAGG
Molecule: ribosomal RNA, 253 nt
Filed under: uncultured bacterium
Lineage: Bacteria
Description: partial 16S ribosomal RNA
Rfam family: Bacterial small subunit ribosomal RNA
Source: RNAcentral